Molecule: small RNA, 71 nt
Organism: Citrobacter koseri ATCC BAA-895
Lineage: Bacteria; Pseudomonadati; Pseudomonadota; Gammaproteobacteria; Enterobacterales; Enterobacteriaceae
Rfam family: isrJ Hfq binding RNA
Source: Rfam
UGUAAAUCUGAUAUUGUCGCCAUAGCUUUGAUUGUCGACGAACUUAAAGCCUCGCCAUCGUGCGGGGCUUU